AAAUGAAUAGACGGGGGCCCGCACAAGCGGUGGAGCAUGUGGUUUAAUUCGAUGAUACGCGAGGAACCUUACCUGGGCUCAAAUGUAUGUUGACGUAGUGUGAAAGCAUUAUUUCUUCGGACAAUAUACAAGGUGCUGCAUGGUUGUCGUCAGCUCGUGCCGUGAGGUGUCGGGUUAAGUCCCAUAACGAGCGCAACCCCUAUCAUUAGUUGCCAUCAGGUCAAGCUGGGGACUCUAAUGAAACUGCCUACGCAAGUAGUGAGGAAGGUGGGGAUGACGUCAAAUCAGCACGGCCCUUACGUCCAGGGCUACACACGUGCUACAAUGGCCAGUACAAAGGGCAGCUACCUGGUGACAGGAUGCUAAUCUCUAAAGCUGGUCUCAGUUCGGAUCGAAGUCUGCAACUCGACUUCGUGAAGCUGGAAUCGCUAGUAAUCGUAUAUCAGCAAUGAUACGGUGAAUACGUUCCCGGGCCUUGUACACACCGCCCGU
This 492-nucleotide ribosomal RNA is filed under the name uncultured bacterium. RNAcentral describes it as "bacterial SSU rRNA". It matches the Rfam family "Bacterial small subunit ribosomal RNA", at positions 903 to 1397 of the family's 1533-position model. The record is from RNAcentral.